AAUACAAACAUGAAAUCUUAACCAAAUCAAACUGUCAACUUAUUUGAGUAGCUAAAUUUACUCCAUCAAAUGUGACCUUAACUUAAACUCCCAACAAACAUGCCCUUAAUUAUCAGCUCUCGAAAAUGGUUACUAUCCAUCUUCAAACCAAUCUCCACCCAAUGUGUCUCUCUUUAGAAUCAUCCCCCAAUUGCCUCUCUCUAGAAUCACCAACCCAAAAAUUUCCAAAACAUAAAGGAAGAAUUGCUCUUCUACUGAUCUUUAGCAUCAUAUAUUCCAUAUCACUAUCUCAAAAAUCCACCAUUACCCAAAUCUCGUCGCAUAAUCUGUUUGAGUAAUGUAUCGACUAAAUCAAAAGGUUUAGGCAACUGCAACGGGCCUGCACACCAAUUCCAAAUGUAUUGCCAUGAACACCCAUGCGAAGGAUAAUGGAAAAAGGUCAUCGAAGAUGUAGCUCCAGACCCAAGCACGAAAAAGAAAAAGAUCGUGACACCACACGGGUUAGGACUCUACCGAAUGUAACUAGACAUGAUCAAUGAUUAAAAGAUUUUUUUUUUUAGUUAAGUCUACUCAAGCGUAUUACAUAUGUAAAGAGUGUUUUAUUUUAUGGUGACUGAUGGAGUAUAUGAAAAUACAUCAAAGACAUAUGAUAUUGUAUUCUGGAU
This 665-nucleotide long non-coding RNA is filed under the name Olea europaea subsp. europaea. Lineage: Eukaryota; Viridiplantae; Streptophyta; Magnoliopsida; Lamiales; Oleaceae. The record is from RNAcentral.